AUUUAAAUAGUUUAAUAAAAAUAUUGAUUUGUGGUGUCAAAGAUAUGAACUUUAUUUCAUUUUAAAUC
Molecule: transfer RNA, 68 nt
Filed under: Pagastia sp. 2XL
Lineage: Eukaryota; Metazoa; Arthropoda; Insecta; Diptera; Chironomidae
Description: tRNA-His
Source: RNAcentral